This 305-nucleotide unclassified non-coding RNA is filed under the name plant metagenome. Its description in RNAcentral is "partial contains 5.8S ribosomal RNA, internal transcribed spacer 2, and large subunit ribosomal RNA". The stretch from base 1 to 105 matches the Rfam family "5.8S ribosomal RNA", at positions 50 to 154 of the family's 154-position model. The record is from RNAcentral.
GAAAUGCGAUAAGUAAUGUGAAUUGCAGAAUUCAGUGAAUCAUCGAAUCUUUGAACGCACAUUGCGCCCGCCAGUACUCUGGCGGGCAUGCCUGUUCGAGCGUCAUUUCAACCAUCAAGCCCCCGGCUUGUGUUGGGGACCUGCGGCUGCCCGCAGGCCCUGAAAAACAGUGGCGGGCUCGCUGUCACACCGAGCGUAGUAGCAUACAUUCUCGCUCAGGGCGUGCUGCGGGUUCCGGCCGUUAAACGACCUUCAUAACCCAAGGUUGACCUCGGAUCAGGUAGGAAGACCCGCUGAACUUAAGU